GCCUCGUUAGCGUAGUUGGAAUAUCGCAUCUGUCUAAUAUACAGUGCCUCGGGUCGGUCCGAGUCUUAUAAAACAGAAGGUCACUGGUUCGAGCCCAGUACGGGGCA
This 107-nucleotide transfer RNA is filed under the name Sporisorium scitamineum. RNAcentral's name for it is "transfer RNA-Ile(AAT)". It matches the Rfam family "tRNA". Rfam says of the family: Transfer RNA (tRNA) molecules are approximately 80 nucleotides in length. Their secondary structure includes four short double-helical elements and three loops (D, anti-codon, and T loops). Further hydrogen bonds mediate the characteristic L-shaped molecular structure. tRNAs have two regions of fundamental functional importance: the anti-codon, which is responsible for specific mRNA codon recognition, and the 3' end, to which the tRNAs corresponding amino acid is attached (by aminoacyl-tRNA synthetases). tRNAs cope with the degeneracy of the genetic code in two manners: having more than one tRNA (with a specific anti-codon) for a particular amino acid; and 'wobble' base-pairing, i.e. permitting non-standard base-pairing at the 3rd anti-codon position. Lineage: Eukaryota; Fungi; Basidiomycota; Ustilaginomycetes; Ustilaginales; Ustilaginaceae. The record is from RNAcentral.